RNAcentral lists this unclassified non-coding RNA (1087 nucleotides) under Cimex lectularius (bed bug). Its description in RNAcentral is "uncharacterized LOC106671045, transcript variant X5". Lineage: Eukaryota; Metazoa; Arthropoda; Insecta; Hemiptera; Cimicidae. The record is from RNAcentral.
AAGAGAGGGGUAAGGGCGUUCCUUAGAUAGGGGGGACCGACUUGUUUCCCAGUAGUCGAGGUAGUUCUGUGCAGUGAAGGGGAGCAUCUCAUCAACGAAUAUCCUAGGGCAUUAAGAGAGAGGUCGUAAACGAAAAACAACUACAAAAAGAAAAAUGUUGCUCCACAACCACCUUGAUAUGAUCGGGAGGAACGAGCCGAUCCAGAGGAAAGCCAAAUUCUGGCAGUCUUAUGUCAGAGCUCUUAAAGGCACUGAUGACAUAAGGGCACCAGAGGCGUCCCACUACUCUCGCUACCCAUCAUCCAGGGGUCUUUUCCGUCCCCUUCUCGACUCUUUCCCAACUUGGCCCCACGUCAAGUCUAUGUACGACGACCCGAUCGCCCCGUCCGACAGGAUCUCCGUCCCUGGCUACCGUUACCUCCCUAUAUCCAGGGAAACAUACGGCCUUUCCCCGAGGAACAUCUACCCACAUCACUACUCGAGCCUGGACCGUUAUCCGCGCACCGAAUACUACUAUCCUUUUACUGACUGGGAUCGUCUUGACCGCCAACCUGAACAUAAGUACCUGAACCCGGCCUACAGGAAGCCAUUUGUUAAGGAGUACACUAUUGGACCCGAUGGAGCCAAAGUUCCACUUUACACGUAUACAGGCACUCCGAUCUACAGCCGUGGAGGAAUCACCAGGAGGCCAUUGACUGACCUCUUCUCUCCCAGGAGCUAUGUCCCUUUGUCGAGGUACACCAGAGACCCUUGGUGGUGGUCAUACCCAUCACUUAAGCCGUUUGAAUCACUUUAUUCAAGACACUCUCCUUUCUAUCUGAGGGACAGCUACUUGUCCCCUGUCAAGAAUACUUACCUUUGGCGGGAUCAUCCUUUCCGUGCCUUCUGGUGAUUGGAAUCACAAAGGUUUUCAAACAAUGCAGAGAAAUAAUGCUAUAAUUAUUGCUAAUCCCAGCUACAAAAAACUACACCCAGGUUGUACUACUAAACUGGAUGAUCAAUAGGGGGAAGCAGUGAAAAUUCAUCAAAAAUGAAAUCUCUAAAUCAAAAUAACUAUUUUUGUAAAAAAUCCAAAAAUUAAACAAGA